UACGAAGGGGGCUAGCGUUGUUCGGAUUCACUGGGCGUAAAGGGUGCGCAGGUGGGUUUGCAAGUUCGAUGUGAAAGCCCCGGGCUUAACCCGGGAAUGGCAUUGGAUACUGCAGAUCUGGAGGAUCGGAGGGGGGACUGGAAUUCUUGGUGUAGAGGUGAAAUUCGUAGAUAUCAGGAGGAACACCAGUGGCGAAGGCGGCUUUCUGGACGGUAACUGACGCUGAGACGCGAAAGCGUGGGGAGCAAACAGG
This 253-nucleotide ribosomal RNA is filed under the name uncultured bacterium. Its description in RNAcentral is "partial 16S ribosomal RNA". It matches the Rfam family "Bacterial small subunit ribosomal RNA", at positions 524 to 776 of the family's 1533-position model. The record is from RNAcentral.